CAACCCUCAAGCUCCGCUUGGUGUUGGGGCCCUACAGCUGAUGUAGGCCCUCAAAGGUAGUGGCGGACCCUCCCGGAGCCUCCUUUGCGUAGUAACUUUACGUCUCGCACUGGGAUCCGGAGGGACUCUUGCCGUAAAACCCCCCGAUUUUCC
This 153-nucleotide unclassified non-coding RNA is filed under the name Colletotrichum gloeosporioides. RNAcentral's name for it is "ITS2". The record is from RNAcentral. Lineage: Eukaryota; Fungi; Ascomycota; Sordariomycetes; Glomerellales; Glomerellaceae.